CAAUAGCGUAUAUUAAAGUUGUUGCAGUUAAAAAGCUCGUAGUUGGACCUCUGGGAGGGACCCAAUGUCCGCCGUGUGCGUGCGCAGCGGGGCCCUUCCAUCCUUCUGUUAACGUUUCUCGGUAUUCGCUUACUGGUUUCGGGCUCAGAUAUUUUACCUUGAGAAAAUUAGAGUGUUUCAGGCAGGCUUGCGCCGGAAUACAUUAGCAUGGAAUAAUAGAAUAGGACUUUUGUCUCCUUUGUUGGUUUGAGGGACCGAAGUAAUGAUUAAUAGGGACAGUUGGGGGCAUUAGUAUUUAAUUGUCAGAGGUGAAAUUCUCGGAUUUGUUAAAGACUAACUUAUGCGAAAGCAUUUGCCAAGGAUGUUUUCAUUAAUCAAGAACGAAAGUUAGGGGAUCAAAGACGAUCAGAUACCAU
This 416-nucleotide ribosomal RNA is filed under the name uncultured eukaryote. RNAcentral's name for it is "SSU rRNA". It matches the Rfam family "Eukaryotic small subunit ribosomal RNA", at positions 592 to 1018 of the family's 1831-position model. The record is from RNAcentral.